GAGGAUCCGAGCGUUAUCCGGAUUUAUUGGGUUUAAAGGGAGCGUAGGUGGAAGAUUAAGUCAGCCUGUGAAAGUUUGCGGCUCAACCGUAAAAUUGCAGUUGAUACUGGUUUUCUUGAGUGCAGUAGAGGUGGGCGGAAUUCGUGGUGUAGCGGUGAAAUGCUUAGAUAUCACGAAGAACUCCGAUUGCGAAGGCAGCUCACUGGACUGUAACUGACACUGAUGCUCGAAAGUGUGGGUAUCAAA
RNAcentral lists this ribosomal RNA (246 nucleotides) under uncultured bacterium. RNAcentral describes it as "partial 16S ribosomal RNA". It matches the Rfam family "Bacterial small subunit ribosomal RNA", at positions 528 to 772 of the family's 1533-position model. The record is from RNAcentral.